CUGGAGGCAGCAGUGGGGAAUAUUGCGCAAUGGGGGAAACCCUGACGCAGCAACGCCGCGUGAAGGAUGAAGGUUUUCGGAUCGUAAACUUCUUUGAUGGGGGACGAAAAAAAUGACGGUACCCCAAAAACAAGCCACGGCUAACUACGUGCCAGCAGCCGCGGUAAUACGUAGGUGGCGAGCGUUGUCCGGAAUUACUGGGUGUAAAGGGCAUGUAGGCGGGAAUGUAAGUCAGAUGUGAAAUGCCGAGGCUUAACCUCGGAGCUGCAUCUGAAACUGCGUUUCUUGAGUGUCGGAGAGGAAAGUGGAAUUCCCAGUGUAGCGGUGAAAUGCGUAGAUAUUGGGAGGAACACCAGUGGCGAAGGCGACUUUCUGGACGAUAACUGACGCUGAGGCGCGAAAGCGUGGGGAGCAAACAGGAUUAGAUACCCCUGUAG
RNAcentral lists this ribosomal RNA (437 nucleotides) under uncultured bacterium. Its description in RNAcentral is "bacterial SSU rRNA". It matches the Rfam family "Bacterial small subunit ribosomal RNA", at positions 342 to 793 of the family's 1533-position model. The record is from RNAcentral.